This 503-nucleotide ribosomal RNA is filed under the name uncultured bacterium. RNAcentral describes it as "partial 16S ribosomal RNA". It matches the Rfam family "Bacterial small subunit ribosomal RNA", at positions 30 to 523 of the family's 1533-position model. The record is from RNAcentral.
AUUGAACGCUGGCGGCAGGCUUAACACAUGCAAGUCGAGCGGGGUGAUGGUGCUUGCACUAUCACUUAGCGGCGGACGGGUGAGUAAUGCUUAGGAAUCUGCCUAUUAGUGGGGGACAACAUCUCGAAAGGGAUGCUAAUACCGCAUACGUCCUACGGGAGAAAGCAGGGGAUCACUUGUGACCUUGCGCUAAUAGAUGAGCCUAAGUCGGAUUAGCUAGUUGGUGGGGUAAAGGCCUACCAAGGCGAUGAUCUGUAGCGGGUCUGAGAGGAUGAUCCGCCACACUGGGACUGAGACACGGCCCAGACUCCUACGGGAGGGAGCAGUGGGGAAUAUUGGACAAAGGGGGGAACUCUGAUCCAGCCAUGCCGCGUGUGUGAAGAAGGCCUUAUGGUUGUAAAGCACUUGAAGCGAGGAGGAGGCUACUGAGACUAAUACUCUUGGAUAGUGGACGUUACUCGCAGAAUAAGCACCGGCUAACUCUGUGCCAGCCGCCGCCGUAA